Molecule: long non-coding RNA, 2161 nt
Organism: Acinonyx jubatus (cheetah)
Lineage: Eukaryota; Metazoa; Chordata; Mammalia; Carnivora; Felidae
Exons: 7
Source: RefSeq, a predicted model, not a curated record
UUUCUCCUGCAUUUCCCAGAGCACUUAGCAUACAGCGCUUUGAGCCAGGCCUCCCUCAAGCUCUAGUUCCAUUGUUUGUUAGCAAUGUGGUCUUGGACAAGUCACUUUAUCUCUGAGACCUCGAGGUGUCUCAUCUAUAAAAUGGGGUAAUGAUUUUUAUUACAUAGGAUAAUUGUGAGGAUUAAGUAAAGUACCUAGUUAGCACUCAAUAAACAUUAGUCGCCUUCCUCCCGCCUCUGGUCCCUGGUUCAGAAAGAUUGUUGCAACAUCGUGGGAGAGCGUCAAGGGAGGGAGGAGGGCCUCGCUCUUCCCGUGGGUCCCGCGGACACACUGCGUGCACCUGAAAGAUCUCACGGGCACUGGCUUGCAGAGCGGCCGGGCAGAGAGGCCGGGUAUCAGCACUGUUGCGCGAAGCCUUGGGCAUCAGUGGUAGUCACUGCCACCCGUUCCUAUAUGGGCAUUUUUGACAACUUCCAAGGAGUGCUCAUCUUUGAUGUAAACAGAAAGAAAACGCUGAAAACGAUUUGCAAAAGCAAACUUUAUAGUAUGAGUCUCCUUGUCUAGGAUAAUACCCUAAACCAAGGUAUGCUCGUAGGGAGAGGUAAACAGUCAUCUGCCAGUGAGUCGUUUCCUUCCUGUCCCGGUUGCUGCUCAGUCUGUGUACAGAAUCUGUGCUGUGAGAUCAUAAGGGUCAUUGUCAUGGCUGUGAUCAUCCUUGUCAUCACCAUCAACGGCAGCCUCCUCCUCCCUCCCCUCAUCCACCCACAGCUGCCAUGUGGGCGGGAGGCAGGGCAGGGGGCAGGGUCCCCCCCUCCUCACCUCCCAUGCCAUUCUAUAUAGACCCCGUGGCCAUACAUAGCCUCGUGGGUCACCGCACUGCUUGGAUACGUACUUGAUUCUUCCAGCAACCCCACGAGGACAGCGGUUUACUGUGGCUCUUUGGUGCCCAGGAAGAGCCCUGCAUCGGGAGGAAGAUGGUGGAGGUACUGACUAUGGCUCUACCUCUUGCUUCCAAGAGAACUUGGACAAGUCAUGUGACUUCUCUGAUCUUCAGCGUUACCAUGUAGCAUCGGACAAGAUCUAGGGUUCCGCUUUCCCUGUCCGUCACCGGUGGGCAGCAACCUCCCGGAAGCGGAUGAGCCUCCCUCCCACCAGUCACUGGAAGAUCAGUGGUAGCCCCACCCCCCGACCCAGCCGGAGUCACCCCCCUGGCUUCCUCUCGCCACACAGUCAUUUUAUCAUCUCAAGUCGGCCCGAGGAGGGUAAAGCAGCUGAGCUCAAGAGAGGUUUGAAUAACUUGUUCUAGACCACACAUGACCUACUAAGAAGAACCAGGAUCCACACAUUUGUGUAUAAAGUCUCAUAGUGUUUGUUUGUGCCCUGACAGCACGAUGCUCCUCCCCUAAGAGUGGUGGCCGUGGGGGAAAGGCACUGGCCUGGGAGUCAGGAAGCCUCUGGUCCUGCCUGCGUCUGCCCGUAACCUAUGAGUCAUCUUGGAGCCUCAUCUGCUUUCUGGAACCCUGGUCCUCCACUUGCGUUCUUGCCUCCUCACUUGGGAUGCCAGCGGUAACGGGACUGGCUCCCCGUUCUGAUGCUGAACAAGGUUAUAGGCUAGUAUGGACUUCUCUGCCCAGACUGGAAGUCAACGAGGAGCAAGGGACUGGGAAGAGCAUCUCCAAACACACCCAGAACUGCCGUUGGGUUAUACAUGGACUCUUGGAAGAGAACAGCUACAGAUACAGUUCGAGGGCUUGAUGGGAGAACAAGGGAAUAAAGGCUGGACUUCGCUGCGGCUCAUAGUCUCCAGGCAGGAUUCUUGAAGCACACAGGUUGUAACACUCCUACAGCUACCUCGAGGACUUCCUUUAAUGUUUCACCACCAGAGCUUCUCUCUGCUUCCACAAGAGGCUAUGCCAUGCUUCAAAACACUGCAACAGAAAGAAGAGGGAAAAAAAAGAUUUCUAGACAAUCCAGUCUGUAUGAAGUACCUAGGGCAAUUCCUGGCACCAAAGAGGCGUUGAGUGUAAGUUAAAUGGAUUUUUUUAUGUGAUUAUUGAAAAUGUCUUCUACGCCUUCUUCACAAAUACUCACUAUCCCCAAACAAACUACGUUUGUCAACACCAAGGUCGAAACAGUACCACAAAAGAGAAGAUUUCUCUGC